UGUGUGUGUGUGUGUGUUGUGUGUGUGUGUGUGUGUGUGUUGUGUGUGUGUGUGUUACACACACACACACACACACACACACACACACACACACACAAACACACAA
Salvelinus sp. IW2-2015 is the source of this 106-nucleotide small nucleolar RNA. RefSeq annotates it as small nucleolar RNA SNORA23. The transcript has a single exon. The record is from RefSeq and is a predicted model, not a curated record. NCBI's taxonomy places the organism in Eukaryota, Metazoa, Chordata, Actinopteri, Salmoniformes, Salmonidae.